GACGAACGCUGGCGGCGUGCUUAACACAUGCAAGUCGAGCGGUAAGGCCCUUUCGGGGGUACACGAGCGGCGAACGGGUGAGUAACACGUGGGUGACCUGCCCUCAGCUCUGGGAUAAGCCUGGGAAACUGGGUCUAAUACUGGAUAUGACUCCACGGUGCAUGUCGUGGGGUGGAAAGCCUUGUGCGGCUGAGGAUGGGGCCCGCGGCCUAUCAGCUUGUUGGGGGGUGAUGGCCUACCAAGGCGACGACGGGGUAGCCGGCCUGAGAGGGGCGGACCGGCCACACUGGGACUGAGACACGGCCCAGACUCCUACGGGAGGGCAGCAGUGGGGAAUCUUGCGCAAUGGGCGAAAGCCUGACGCAGCGACGCCGCGUGAGGGAUGACGG
This 389-nucleotide ribosomal RNA is filed under the name uncultured bacterium. RNAcentral's name for it is "bacterial SSU rRNA". It matches the Rfam family "Bacterial small subunit ribosomal RNA", at positions 28 to 414 of the family's 1533-position model. The record is from RNAcentral.